This is a long non-coding RNA of Homo sapiens (human), 969 nucleotides long. Ensembl annotates it as long intergenic non-protein coding RNA 454. NCBI's taxonomy places the organism in Eukaryota, Metazoa, Chordata, Mammalia, Primates, Hominidae. The record is from Ensembl.
GGGGGACGUGGGGGCGCCGAGGGACUUGGAGGGCGCCGAGGGACGUGGGGGCGCUGAGGGACGUUGGGGGUGCUGAGGGGACGCCCGCAGGGGCCGCUGAGGGACGUGGGAGUGUUGAGACACAGACACAGGAAGCAUCAACUCUGAGGCUUUGGCCAGGAUGUGAGCCCGACUUUCGCAGCCCCAACUGGCAGGCUGACCUCAUGUGAACUCCCUGGCGAUGGCAUCCUGGAGACACCCACAUGGCUGAGCUGGCACCAUAGGCACUCAUAAUCCAGGUUCAGUUUCUGCCAGCACUAAUUUGGUUUAUUCCACAUGGCUGGAGCCACUGCGGGACUCCAUUUGUUCCGGGGCCACCUUCCUGUCACCUUUUACUGUUUCUUGAGUCAGCAAGAAAGGCAGAUCCGACUGAAGACUCCAGCACUCUCCUCAGCUGCAGCCCCCACAGAGCUCCGCGAAGUCCUUUCUCCCACAGGACAGAUCUGAGGCACCCACCAUUAGAAGAAAGGAGUGGAGAAAUGAUAUGCAGGAAGAAGGCCCAUUCUGAUUCACCAAUCGCAUGGACGCACUUUCCUACCAGGCUAGGAGGGAGGAAAGUAGAGCCCCACCCUGACUGCUAAGCCGUUUGCUUUGGUGUCAUGAAAAAAGAGUUCAGCUUCCCAAAUCAGAGAGGAAAAGGUUUUCAAGGGGUCCCCUAUUUCUAUUAUGUAAGCUUUAAAUGACAAAGUGGACCUCUGGGGCCAACGUGGGUGUGUGAUGGUGGUUUUGUGGGAUUCUCCCCAUAGCCCCAUCAGACGGCCUCACCUUCUGGGUCUCAGUGGCCCCAGGUGCAACACGGCUCCUCCAGAAAUGAUGACAGCCCUGGCGACCAAGGACUCCCUGUGCCACUGGGUUUGCGCUCAGAAGUAUAUUCAAUGAUUUCCCCAGAAAAUUCCAAGUCAUCUCCUAAUACUGUUUGUGAAAACUAAA